Molecule: non-coding RNA, 908 nt
Organism: Misgurnus anguillicaudatus (oriental weatherfish)
Lineage: Eukaryota; Metazoa; Chordata; Actinopteri; Cypriniformes; Cobitidae
Source: RefSeq, a predicted model, not a curated record
AAUUUGUACUAUUUUGGUAAUUCCAUAACUUACUGGCAACGUAACUGUUACGUCCUAGGGAGGUAAUUUCAUUACCAUUACAGUACCAAAUCACCACGUCGCCAGUACGGACUCCCUACGUCGCAAGAUAACCAAGUACGUCCCAGUUACGUAAUAAAUUCGUACUAUUUUGGUAAUUUCAUAACUUACUGGGAACGUAACUGUUACGUCCCAGGGAGGUAAUUUCAUUACCUUUACAAUUAUAUAAACAUUAAUUUCGUUUUCUAUUUAGGUUAGCUUAUUAAAACUUUUCAGUCUCAAAGUUUCCCUUAAAUAAGUCAAAAUAGAUUAAAUACACACGAACUGCCAUUUAAAUGGGAAACAUGAAACAGCACGCGCCUCCCGCCCAGCUGACCUCAACCAGAGCGCGCCUCCCGCCCAGCUGACCUCAACCAGAGCGCGCGACCGCGCGUGCACAGCAGAACGGUGGCUGACAGGACGCGGUGUUGUUUCUCUGAACUGAGACCCGUUUAAAAUACACAAGAACUUAUUUUAGUUGCUUAAGAGUUAUGAAAACAGCAUGUUAACAUACUUAUUAAGGCUCACAGAAUCUCGCCCGACAGUAUAAACCGCGUUUUAUGCUGCACUGACAGGAAUGUUCAUCUGACAGGAAAUUUCGUUUUAUCAGUUUUGUGGGACACGUUUGGCGUUUUGGACUGGUGAAGGUUAGAGCAGCGUUACCCUGGCAACCGGAACAUGAAGAGGACCGCGCGCCCUCUCUCUGUCUGACAAAACUACGCCUGCACAAUUCAGAAAUUACAUUUUAAAUGAACUUAUAUGGAGAAUCCAUUUAAAUGUUCAUUUUAACAUAUGUUUAUUUAAAUGUUUGUAAUGUUCAUGUUCAAUAAAUGAAGUAUUCAAGCUCUGAG